Molecule: transfer RNA, 86 nt
Filed under: Candidatus Adiutrix sp.
Lineage: Bacteria; Pseudomonadati; Thermodesulfobacteriota; Desulfarculia; Candidatus Adiutricales; Candidatus Adiutricaceae
Description: tRNA-Leu
Rfam family: tRNA
About the family: Transfer RNA (tRNA) molecules are approximately 80 nucleotides in length.
Source: RNAcentral
GCCGAAGUGGUGGAAUUGGUAGACACGCCAUCUUGAGGGGGUGGUGGGCAACGCAUGUGCCGGUUCGAGUCCGGCCUUCGGCACCA